RNAcentral lists this ribosomal RNA (253 nucleotides) under uncultured bacterium. Its description in RNAcentral is "partial 16S ribosomal RNA". It matches the Rfam family "Bacterial small subunit ribosomal RNA", at positions 524 to 776 of the family's 1533-position model. The record is from RNAcentral.
UACGUAGGGUGCAAGCGUUAAUCGGAAUUACUGGGCGUAAAGCGUGCGCAGGCGGUGAUGUAAGACAGAUGUGAAAUCCCCGGGCUCAACCUGGGAACUGCAUUUGUGACUGCAUCGCUGGAGUGCGGCAGAGGGGGAUGGAAUUCCGCGUGUAGCAGUGAAAUGCGUAGAUAUGCGGAGGAACACCGAUGGCGAAGGCAGCCCCCUGGGUCAAGACUGACGCUCAUGCACGAAAGCGUGGGGAGCAAACAGG